UGUCGACAGUAGCAAGGUGUGUGCUUGUGCCUUUUACCUAAAUCUUCCAUCGCAUCCAACAAAUUUCAUUUUCAACAUUUAAAAAACGUUUAUAUCAAUAGAGAAGUUACACAGUUUGGCGAGAGUGCAGUUCGAUAAAAAGGAAAUUCCUAUAUUUGCAGCGAAUCGGAAAGUGAAUUGACAAUUUUGAAGGAAGGAGAAAAAGAGUUUU
Bombus terrestris (buff-tailed bumblebee) is the source of this 211-nucleotide long non-coding RNA. RefSeq lists it as uncharacterized. Lineage: Eukaryota; Metazoa; Arthropoda; Insecta; Hymenoptera; Apidae. The record is from RefSeq and is a predicted model, not a curated record. The transcript has 2 exons.